AUGGUAGGAUAGAGGCCUACCAUGGUUUUAACGGGUAACGGGGAAUUAGGGUUCGAUUCCGGAGAGGGAGCCUGAGAAACGGCUACCACAUCCAAGGAAGGCAGCAGGCGCGCAAAUUACCCAAUCCCGACACGGGGAGGUAGUGACAAUAAAUAACAAUAUGGGGCUCUUACGAGUCUUGUAAUUGGAAUGAGUACAAUUUAAAUCUCUUAACGAGGAACAAUUGGAGGGCAAGUCUGGUGCCAGCAGCCGCGGUAAUUCCAGCUCCAAUAGCGUAUAUUAAAGUUGUUGCAGUUAAAAAGCUCGUAGUUGAAUUUCGGGAUUUAUCCGUCGGUCGGGCUUUUGGGUCUGUACUGGCGUGAUGGAUUCCUACCUUCUGAAUAACCGGCAUGUCAUUAAUUUGGUGCGCCGGGGAAGCAGGACUGUUACCUUGAAAAAAUUAGAGUGCUUAAAGCAGGCUUAUGCCUGAAUACAUUAGCAUGGAAUAAUGAAAUAGGACGGCAUGGUUCUAUUUUGUUGGUUUCUAGGAUCACCGUAAUGAUUAAUAGGGAUAGUUGGGGGCAUUAGUAUUCAAUUGUCAGAGGUGAAAUUCUUGGAUUUAUUGAAGACUAACUUCUGCGAAAGCAUUUGCCAAGGAUGUUUUCAUUAAUCAAGAACGAAAGUUAGGGGAUCGAAGACGAUCAGAUACCGUCGUAGUCUUAACCAUAAACUAUGCCGACUAGGGAUCGGACGAUGUUAAUUUUUUAAUGACUCGUUCGGCGCCUUACGGGAAACCAAAGUGUUUGGG
RNAcentral lists this ribosomal RNA (787 nucleotides) under uncultured Acaulospora. RNAcentral's name for it is "SSU rRNA". It matches the Rfam family "Eukaryotic small subunit ribosomal RNA", at positions 325 to 1111 of the family's 1831-position model. Lineage: Eukaryota; Fungi; Glomeromycota; Glomeromycetes; Diversisporales; Acaulosporaceae. The record is from RNAcentral.